This is an RNA transcript of Hippoglossus stenolepis (Pacific halibut), 6459 nucleotides long. It is a transcript of the gene named ATPase phospholipid transporting 11A, with no coding region annotated. NCBI's taxonomy places the organism in Eukaryota, Metazoa, Chordata, Actinopteri, Pleuronectiformes, Pleuronectidae. The record is from RefSeq and is a predicted model, not a curated record. The transcript is spliced from 31 exons.
UACUGGAACACGCGCAGCUGCGAGUGGAGAGGGAGCGCGCGCGCCAGGCGGAGGUAACUUCAUGCACAGGAGGAGCGCACUUGUCUGUACCUGCGUUAACUGCGUGAAAACCCGCUCCGCUCCUCCACCUCUCCCUGGAGCCUGUCAGUGAAGUGCUGCGGGACCGAGCCCUGUUCUCUUUCUCCAUCCAGGAAGACGAGCGGACGGAGAAAGUCAUGGAGCGAGGAGGAGAUUUAAAAAGAAGCUAGCGCUCCCAGCCCCGGCAGCCCCGCGGAGAGAACACCACUGACGCCCCGCAGAACAGAAGAAGUGUCCGGGGAGAAAGGGGAACAAGAUGGGGAUGGAUCUCAGCACCCUCCGGACCCUCAUCAGCAGAUAUUGUGUUGGUGAGGAGAACUGGGUGGACAGCAGGACCAUCUACAUUGGACAAAAGGAGCCUCCUCCUGGUACUGAGGCCUUCAUACAGCAGAGAUUCCCAGACAACAGAAUAGUCUCCUCCAAGUACACAUUUUGGAACUUUAUACCGAAGAAUAUGUUCGAGCAGUUCAGGAGAGUCGCCAACUUCUACUUUCUCAUCAUAUUUCUGGUCCAGCUGAUCAUCGACACACCCACCAGUCCCAUCACCAGCGGGCUGCCGCUCUUCUUUGUAAUCACAGUCACGGCCAUUAAACAGGGUUAUGAGGACUGGUUGAGACACAAAGCAGACAACUCUGUCAACCUGUGUCCCGUCCUCGUGGUGCAGCAUGGGAAAGUGGUCCGCAAACAAAGUCGCAACCUCAGGGUUGGAGAUGUCGUCUUGGUGAAAGAAAAUGAAUCUUUUCCUUGUGACCUUAUACUUCUCGCCUCGGCUCGAGAUGAUGGGACCUGCUUUGUAACAACAGCCAGUCUGGAUGGGGAGAGCAGCCACAAGACAUACUAUGCAGUUCAAGACACCAAAGCCUACAACACAGAACAGGAGGUGGACUCAAUCCACGCCACAAUAGAAUGUGAACAGCCACAGCCAGACCUGUACAAGUUUGUGGGACGUAUCAACAUCUACAUGGAGAACGAGCCUACGGCCAGGCCUUUAGGAUCAGAGAACCUGCUGCUCAGAGGGGCCACACUCAAGAACACAGAGUACAUCUAUGCGGUUGCCAUCUACACCGGCAUGGAAACCAAGAUGGCUCUCAACUACCAGUCCAAGUCUCAGAAACGCUCUGCAGUAGAAAAGUCAAUGAAUGCCUACCUGGUGGUCUACCUGUGCAUUCUCAUCAGCAAGGCCCUCAUCAACACCGCACUUAAGUACGUGUGGCAGGCCGAUCCCAACAGAGACGAGCCGUGGUACAACGAUAGAACCGACACAGAGAGGCAGAGGCACAUUGUGGUCAGGGCGUUCACAGACUUCCUGGCUUUCAUGGUUCUCUUCAACUACAUCAUCCCCGUCUCCAUGUACGUCACCGUGGAAAUGCAGAAGUUCCUGGGUUCCUAUUUCAUCAUGUGGGACGACGAGAUGUUUGAUGAGGAGCUGGGGGAGCGAGCGGUGGUCAACACGUCAGACCUGAACGAGGAGCUGGGACAGGUGGAGUAUGUGUUUACCGACAAGACCGGGACUCUGACAGAGAACAACAUGGAGUUCAUUGAGUGCUGUGUGGACGGACAUGUUUAUGUGCCUCACGCCAUCUGUAAUGGACAGGUGAUGCCUGGUGCAGUUGGUAUGGACAUGAUCGACACGUCGCCAGGUCCCGGAGCCAGGGAGCACGAGGACCUGUUUUUCCGGGCGCUGUGUUUGUGCCACACGGUGCAGGUGAAGGAGGAGGAGACGGUGGACGGGAUCAAGCAAGGGAUCCACCAGGGCAAGUCCACCUCCUUCUACAUCUCCUCAUCGCCGGAUGAGGUGGCGCUGGUGGAGGGAAUGAAGAGGCUCGGUUUCACAUAUCUGAGACUCAAAGACAGUCACAUGGAGAUCUUGAACAGGGAGGAUGAGAUCGAGAGGUUCGAGCUGCUGGAGGUUUUGACAUUCGACUCAGUCAGACGGAGGAUGAGCGUCAUUGUCAGAGCUAGCACUGGUCAGCUCUAUCUGUUCUGCAAAGGUGCAGACUCCUCCAUCUUCCCUCGGGUUGUCUCAGGCAAGGUGGAUCAGGUUCGAGCUCGGGUGGAGCACAACGCGGUGGAGGGUCUGCGGACGCUUUGUGUUGCCUACAGGCCUUUGAGCCCUGAACAGUACCAGGAGGUUUGCCACUUGCUGAACGAGGCCAAGUUGUCGCUACAGGACCGCGACAAACGACUGGCUGAGGCCUAUGACAUCAUAGAGAAAGACCUGAUACUCCUGGGAGCCACCGCUGUGGAGGACAGGCUCCAGGAAAACGCAGCGGACACUAUCGAGUCUCUCCACAAGGCCGGCAUGAAGGUGUGGGUGCUGACAGGCGAUAAGAUGGAGACGGCGGCCGCAACCUGCUACGCCAGCAGGCUCUUCCAUCGCAACACCCAGAUCCUGGAGCUGACCACCAAGCGCACAGAGGAGCAGAGCCUGCAUGACGUCCUGUUUGACCUGAGCAGGACGGUCCUGAGGCAGCACGGAGGCAUGACCAGGGACACUUUCUCUGGCUUAUCAGGUGACUGCCCUGACUUUGGUCUGAUCAUUGACGGGGCCACCCUCUCUGCGGUGAUGAGGCCCGGCCAGGAGGACUCAAACUCGGGGAACUACAAAGAGAUCUUCCUAGAAAUCUGCCGCAACUGCAGCGCUGUGCUCUGCUGUCGAAUGGCGCCGCUCCAGAAAGCACAGAUCGUGAAGAUGAUCAAAACCUCUGAAGAACAUCCGAUCACACUGGCGAUUGGCGAUGGAGCGAAUGAUGUCAGCAUGAUCCUGGAAGCCCAUGUUGGCAUCGGUAUUAUGGGUAAAGAAGGUCGUCAGGCUGUGAGGAAUAGCGACUACGCCAUUCCGAAGUUCAAACACCUCAAGAAGAUUCUGCUUGUCCAUGGACACUAUUACUACAUACGCAUCUCCGAACUAGUGCAAUACUUCUUCUACAAGAAUGUCUGCUUCAUCUUCCCCCAGUUCCUUUACCAGUUCUUCUGUGGCUUCUCACAACAGCCCCUGUAUGAUACCGCCUACUUGACUCUGUACAACAUCAGCUUCACCUCGCUGCCCAUUCUGCUCUACAGUCUCAUAGAGCAGCACAUCAACAUGGAAAUCCUGAAGAAGGACCCAUCGCUGUAUAGAGAUAUUGCUAAGAACUCUUUGCUGCGAUGGCCCAACUUCAUAUAUUGGACCGUCCUGGGUGUAUAUGACGCCAUAGUGAUGUUCUUUGGUACUUACUUUCUGUUUGACAACACCACCUUCACCAGCAAUGGACAGAUGUUUGGAAACUGGACGUUUGGGACGCUGGUCUUCACUGUGCUCGUCUUCACUGUCACAUUCAAGUUGGCUCUAGAUACUCAUUACUGGACCUGGAUCAACCACUUUGUCAUCUGGGGCUCACUGAUCUUCUUUGUGGUCUUCUCUCUGCUGUGGGGAGGAAUCAUCUGGCCCUUCCUCAACUACCAGAGGAUGUACUAUGUGUUCAUGCAGAUGCUGUCCAGUGGUCCGGCCUGGCUCAGUAUCAUCCUCCUGAUAACAGCCAGUCUGUUACCAGAUGUGUUAAAGAAGGUGAUCUGGAGGGCGCUGUGGCCCACCACUACUGAACGCAUACAGAAUGCUGAUAAACUCUAUAAGGGCCACCUCUCAGAGUUCACCCCCCUGGCGUCCCUCCACGCCCCAUCCAAGGCUGGUGGCCACCGGCGAGGCUCGGGAAACCAAAGGAGCGCUGCGCACCCUCGAAGGUCUGAACCCUUUAACAAGAAAGUCAUGUUCACACGCUGGCAAAGAAAGCCAGACUACAGCACCUUCACCCCACUCCUCCGAUUCACAGAUGGCUCCCGCCACACGGGCUACGGAGGGGCGGGGCCUGAGACCUCAGUCUAAUUUAUUUCUCUUUAGUACUUUUUUAAAUCCUGAAUUUCUGAUAUCGGAUACAUUUGGAGCUCCCUGAGCAAAGAAGGUGACUAAGUGUUACUGAGCUGGAGUUAAAUGAUGGACCAUGUUGCUAGUAGCAUCUAUAAUCCAUCUCUGAGCGAUUACAGUGAACGUAACCUUUAUAACUUCUCAGCCAAGUGUGGCGCAAAGCACUAUGGGGCGACUCUGAAAGGACUCCAUCCACGAGGGCCUCAUGACGUGCAAAGGGCUCAGCGUACUGAUGUCACAGCAUAAAAACUUUGAUUAUAAGAGACUGAAAAUAUGCACACUGGCCCUUUACACCUGUCUGCCGCUGACAGCAGGCAGCUGAAGUGUACUUUUAGGAUUUAUACCACACUCCUUUAGAUGUGUUGUGAUUGGAAUUCUGCAGAUGAUGAUGACUGUGCUUUCUCAGCACAUGCUUUCUCUGAUCAACCAUUUUCUUUUCUUCCAUUCCUGCCAUCUCUCUCUGUCUCUCUGUCCAUCUGUUCUUCCUCUCUAUAGGACUAACUGGUGUUGCCUGUGUGCAAACUUAUUAUCCCGAAACACUCCAUAGGACUCUGGGGUCAGAUCCUUCAGCGCUCUAUCCCUUCUCUUUUUCUACCUUUCUCUCGUUCUCCACCUGCUGAAGCGACGCGGAUGUUUUCUCACCUCCAUCCGUCCUCCUCAUCACCCGCUUCCUCCAUCGGUCUGUCCAACCCUCCGUCUACACGUCCAUCGUGAGACAAAGUAGAAAUGGUUUUGUACUCGACUUUUAAUAGUUCUCAUAUGAACCAAAGCCUUGUUGCUGCUAGAAAUCCUCGUAGCUGCUUUACAUUAGGUGCCUUGUGGUAGUGAACUGUCUUCGCUCGCUUUUAUGGUGAAUUCUACUACUUAUAAUCAGCGUUUGGAUGGAAAGGUACUGCAGAUGAUGGCUGUAUGGAGGAGAGACUAAGAAAAGGUGGAUGUAAGUGUCAGGUUCUACUGUCCAGUAGCAUUUAUUAUAAAUGCCGUACUGAAAUAUGAUUGGUCUGCAAUCAAUGAACAAAUUAAUCAGCACUUGCACCAAAAAUAUUCAACAACAAUCGAUGUUUAAUAUCAGUUUUUUAUUGUUUUUAUUCCAAUUGUUUUAUAUAUGUCCACGGGGGCAUUUUGUCUCUGAAAUGUUAUUUUUACUGUUUUCAUUAUGUAUAAAGUUUUAAAUUCCCAAUCACCACAUUAAGAGGGAGUAAGGGUCUCGUGCAGUGGUCUGAGCACAUUGGAAAGAUAUCAGCCCAAUGGUGUUUCUUUAUUCUACAGACACUGAAACAUUGCUUCAGCUCUGCUUGAUUUGUGUUACAAACUGGAAUUUGUUUUGAGUAUAUAUUCUGUGUAUGUUUACUUUAAUGUCUGACUCCGACAUCAAAAUUAACAGCAAAGCAGUCUUAUACCAUUAAUUUAUAUAUUACAAAAGAAACAAUAAUUCUGAAAAGAGACAAAUCCAAACUUCAAAUAAAACAGUAGAUCUUAAAAUACGUAUAUUUCUGCAAUGUGGGUGAACUGAGCCUUAAUGUUCUCAGGAUUACGAAUGUAAACAUGUCAUCAGAGAUCCUCCUCCUCCUGCUGUUGUUUGUGUGGAUUUAAAUUGGGCUUUGACACAUUCAGUUUAUCGUAGAGGUUUUUGUCAGACGUAACCGUGCCAGUAUUUAGUAUCUUAAAAAUCGUUUUCCCACCGGAAUCCAAAAUAAGAGGUAUGAGUAUCGGCACUUAGAGGCACUCUGGAGUCUUUUAAAGAAUCAUCAGAGGAAAGGAAUCCGUGCCAUAAGCCCCUUUUUCAUUCAGUCAGGCAUCUCCCAUCACAGAACAGUUGCAGAAAAGGAAUAUCAAGAGCUUUGUGUCUGCUCUGUGUUCCACGUGUCAUGAGGCUUUGUUACUAUUUAUCUUUUUUUACUUUCUGGACACUGUAUUCGACGCAUGUCUUAUUUUGUGUAGAAGCCGAUUCGAACAACACCGGACAUGUAGCUUUAAAAAUGAGUAUUCUAAAAAGACAAGAGAUUCCCGUGGUGUCCGCUCAGAUACACCCCUGCACUGAACCGUCUUCGUCUGAUGAUUGACACGUCGCUGUAGGAAUCUUUCAAAGCCAUUAAAUGGUGGAUCUAAGGUCUUUACUGUACUGAUCACUCUCUGUCCGGAUCUUUCAACACCACUGAAACUGACAGCCUUCAAACCGAAUGUUAUCUUCUCUCUUUUACAAUGUAUUAUUGUGUCAUGUUCUGUAUGUCUCAUAACCAAACAGUAUCUAUAACGUCUGUACACACACUGAUACAGUAUACAUAUAUAAAUAUAUAUAUAUAUAAGAUAUAAAUGUAGUUAUAUUAAUUGAUGUACAGUUUUGGGGUCUUUUUGUAUACAGUUUUUAAACAGUCAUAUCAAGAUUUACUUGUGGGUUUUUGCCAACCUUUCUGUAGCUAUCGAUGGAAAACAGCUGUACAUGUGCUUAAGAAUAAAAGCCAGAGGUGGAAAUAUUAAAA